GCCCCCAUCGUCUAAUGGCUAGGAUAGCAGAUUCUCAGUCUGUGGAUACGGGUUCGACUCCCGUUGGGGGUA
Molecule: transfer RNA, 72 nt
Filed under: Planctomycetota bacterium
Lineage: Bacteria; Pseudomonadati; Planctomycetota
Description: Planctomycetes bacterium (groundwater metagenome) tRNA-Glu
Rfam family: tRNA
About the family: Transfer RNA (tRNA) molecules are approximately 80 nucleotides in length. Their secondary structure includes four short double-helical elements and three loops (D, anti-codon, and T loops). Further hydrogen bonds mediate the characteristic L-shaped molecular structure. tRNAs have two regions of fundamental functional importance: the anti-codon, which is responsible for specific mRNA codon recognition, and the 3' end, to which the tRNAs corresponding amino acid is attached (by aminoacyl-tRNA synthetases). tRNAs cope with the degeneracy of the genetic code in two manners: having more than one tRNA (with a specific anti-codon) for a particular amino acid; and 'wobble' base-pairing, i.e. permitting non-standard base-pairing at the 3rd anti-codon position.
Source: RNAcentral